AUGGACCACAUCAGCAAUCUCCCAGACGACAUACUUGGGGAUAUCAUCUCGCUUCUCCCCACCAAGGAUUGCUGCCGCACACAAGUCCUCUCAACUCGGUGGCGCCCGCUAUGGCGCACCGCGCCCCUCAAUCUCGUCUGUCGUCAGAUUUCUGUCCUUCCUGAAUUUGAUCUCCUCACAGCCAUCGUCUCCUCUCACCAGUAG
RNAcentral lists this ribosomal RNA (204 nucleotides) under Triticum aestivum (bread wheat). RNAcentral describes it as "partial small subunit ribosomal RNA". The record is from RNAcentral. Lineage: Eukaryota; Viridiplantae; Streptophyta; Magnoliopsida; Poales; Poaceae.